This 487-nucleotide ribosomal RNA is filed under the name uncultured bacterium. RNAcentral describes it as "bacterial SSU rRNA". It matches the Rfam family "Bacterial small subunit ribosomal RNA", at positions 28 to 507 of the family's 1533-position model. The record is from RNAcentral.
GAUGAACGCUAGCUACAGGCUUAACACAUGCAAGUCGAGGGGCAGCAUGUCGGUUGCUUGCAACCGAUGAUGGCGACCGGCGCACGGGUGAGUAACGCGUAUCCAACCUACCCUUGUCCAUCGGAUAACCCGUCGAAAGGCGGCCUAACACGAUAUGCGGUUCUCAGCAGGCAUCUAACGAGAACGAAAUGUGAAGGAGAAGGAUGGGGAUGCGUCUGAUUAGCUUGUUGGCGGGGUAACGGCCCACCAAGGCAACGAUCAGUAGGGGUUCUGAGAGGAAGGUCCCCCCACAUUGGAACUGAGACACGGUCCAAACUCCUACGGGAGGCAGCAGUGAGGAAUAUUGGUCAAUGGGCGGAAGCCUGAACCAGCCAAGUAGCGUGAGGGAUGACUGCCCUAUGGGUUGUAAACCUCUUUAUAAGGGAUAAAGUGAGUCUCGUGAGGCUUUUUGCAUGUACCUUAUGAAUAAGGACCGGCUAAUUCCGUG